GCCUCAGCCUCUGGAGCAGCUGGGACUACAGGCGCCCGCCAUCACGCCCAGUUUCUCCUUCUCUCCUCUAUCCUGCCACUUUGUGAAGAAGGUGCUUGCUUCUCCUUCACCUUCCACCAUGAUUGUAAGUUUCCUGAGGCCUCCCCAGCCAUGUGGAACUAGGUGACAUUUUUGCCAACGCCUGAAUGAAUGAUGAGAAGGAGCCAAACAUGAAAUUCUCUGGGGAAACAGCAUUUUCUUGAGCGGGAAGAAUAAGUUCAAACUUCUGUGGCAAAGGAGAUAAGGUCAAAAUGAAAAAUAGAAUAUAAAAACUUCUCUACUCCUGACUCACCAACGCACCAGAACAACUUUUAGUCCUGCAAUCAUGAAGCAUUGAUUGAACAUCUUCUACAUAUUAUCACCACCCUAGACACUACAACAACAAAGAAGUCAAUACUAGUUUCAAUUUGUGGAAAGCUGGAAAUGCGAUGAUUCCCAUGCCCUGAGUUUCUGCUCCAGACACCAGGUGGGGGCAUGGCAAUUGUGACUGGAGAGAGUGGAGGGGUCAUCUUAUCCGCCACAUCAGAAGCUGAGGUUAGGAUAUUGUGGCAAGAGAUGAAAAGUGAAGUGAUGUGAGGAAACUUCAUCCUGAAUUCAACUAAAGCCCUGGAAUACUUGUUCAAAUAACCAGCUGACAACUUGGGGUUAAGCUGUCUUGAAUUUAACCUGUUUAGCUCAGCCAAUACAAUUAUGAAAUAAAAAGUUAACAGUCUACUAUUUUGUAGUCCCUGGAUAAAGAGGCCUAAAUGG
RNAcentral lists this long non-coding RNA (789 nucleotides) under Pan troglodytes (chimpanzee). Its description in RNAcentral is "lincRNA". Lineage: Eukaryota; Metazoa; Chordata; Mammalia; Primates; Hominidae. The record is from RNAcentral.